Molecule: long non-coding RNA, 1268 nt
Filed under: Sorghum bicolor (sorghum)
Lineage: Eukaryota; Viridiplantae; Streptophyta; Magnoliopsida; Poales; Poaceae
Description: long non-coding RNA (SBIC_LNC012684)
Source: RNAcentral
AGUACACAAGUAUUCAAACAAGGACUCCCCUCCGGAUUAGAGUGAACUAUUCUGACUCAAGACUCACCAAUUUUACCUUUCACCACGGGGCUUAUAGCUAUCACUUUGGUCUUGGGCAGUUGAAAGACAUAACAGUUAAAUCGAGCACUAUGCUACCCGCUCUUUGAUCAACUAUUAUUCUAGAGUUUUGCAAGAUUUUCAAAUAAAACUUAGAGUUUCCUUGUAUGAUACUUUCCAGUCCCUCAUAUGUGGUAUUUGUGGAUCCUCUCCAUGGCAAGUGAGUAUGCCUUCUCUCUGCUCUUCGAAUAUGUGAUAUUUGUAUCACUAAGACAUAAUUGCCUUCUCUCUCUCACCCUACUUCUAAUUGGCUUAUGUGGAGCUUAUAGGUGGGAAAGAUAAUUCAAACCUACUUGCAUGUAUUGCAUAGUUAAACCAUGGAUCCAGAGAAACUAAUUAAAAAAUCAAUUCAUAUGUGCAUGUGAGUGAAGUGAAAUGAAGUGAUAAGAAUGAAAGGGGUUAUGAGGGGUGAUAACUGAUGGUAAAUAUCUAAUUCUACAUUUGCUCCUUGGGGAUAACAUACCUCCCUAAUCUGAGAACAAGGAUUUGGCUGUCUCUCUUUUCUUUUGCAUUGGGACUUUUGUCCUCUUUUUUUCUUUUUUUCUCUUUUUCUCUCUAUUUUUUAGAGAUCAGCCAUCCCUUUUAAUUCAAUGACAACAGUAGGGAGUAUCAACUGGGAUAACUGAGGCUUUAUUGGAUAAGUAUAAUAAGACAUUGAAUAUUUUUGGGUGUCUUCUCCCAGUGUAGGAGUAGAACAUUUUCUGAGUGGACGUGGAAUGUGUGUGGGUGAAUGAAGGAAUGCGUACUCCUUAGGUAGGAGCAACAUAGGCGCAUGUCUCUAGGAUAGAAACAUCACAGAGUGUAGUGCGUAUAUGUGGGUGGUACUUCCAGGAACAAAAGUAGCACAUAGUGAAUGUGGUUGUUGACGGUAUUUUGACUAUGAUUUUCGAGCACUAAAACCGUCAACAAUGGUUAAGGUUUGGGGAUAACACCAAGCAACUAAGUAGUGACAUAGGUACAAUUCACUUGGUUCCACAUGUACAUGUCAUUAUUUGGAUGCAGGUGCAAACAGCCACUAAUCAAGCCUCAUCAAGCUCAAAUGAAGCAAAGAUGAUCAAGAACCAAAACCACCACAUAUCAACAAAAGGUUGAAGAUGACAAGUGGGGACAACAUGUGGAGCAAGGUGAUGGGCCAAACCCCCAAGGGUAGG